UACGUAGGUGACCGAGCGUUGUCCGGAUUUACUGGGCGUAAAGAGCGCGCAGGCGGUCGUUCAAGUCGAGUGUGAAAGCCCCCGGCUCAACUGGGGAGGGUCACUCGAUACUGAUCGACUUGAAGGCAGGAGAGGGAAGCGGAAUUCCCGGUGUAGUGGUGAAAUGCGUAGAUAUCGGGAGGAACACCAGUGGCGAAGGCGGCUUCCUGGCCUGUUCUUGACGCUGAGGCGCGAAAGCUAGGGGAGCAAACCGG
RNAcentral lists this ribosomal RNA (254 nucleotides) under uncultured bacterium. Its description in RNAcentral is "partial 16S ribosomal RNA". It matches the Rfam family "Bacterial small subunit ribosomal RNA", at positions 524 to 776 of the family's 1533-position model. The record is from RNAcentral.